Molecule: long non-coding RNA, 2709 nt
Organism: Bactrocera dorsalis (oriental fruit fly)
Lineage: Eukaryota; Metazoa; Arthropoda; Insecta; Diptera; Tephritidae
Exons: 2
Source: RefSeq, a predicted model, not a curated record
AAAUGUAAAGGCCUUUAGUCUCAUAUAACUUAUAAAAAUGCGCUAUUAAAAACUUAAAAAAAAGAAGCAAUUCAUUUAUCUACCAAAAAUGUACAAUAUAUACAUAAUUCAUUUAUUUAAAAAAAUGUGUAAAACAUUCACCAGUCUUUUUGAACUUAAAAAUAAUUUAUUUAAAAAAUUAAUGACUUCAGAAAUUUAGAAAAGAUAAAUAUCAAAUUCGUUUUUAAUGUUGCACAUGUUUUUCCUAUUAGUGUAAACUCUAGAAAUAAUUAAUUAGUUUACAUAUUCGUAUGUAAAAACAUGAUUUUUCCUACAGUAACAGGGUUAGACCCAAUAACACAACGCUUUUCAGAAAGUAAAUUUUGGCAUUUGAGAAUAUUCUCUCAGACGAGGCACUAAUAGCCGGUGUUGCUAAGAUUUUUAAACUCAAUUUAAAAAGUAACGGAAAUUUAAGUUUAUUUAAUUCCCACCAUUGUAAAACAUCAAAAUUGUCGUGCAUUACUUCGUUAAUAUUUUCGUAUAAUAGUAAUUCAUUUUGAACUCGAUCGAGAUUACGGCCAGUACAAUGCAGGCAAACAUGUUGUGGGAAAAACCCUUCCGUUUAUCUUCUGUAUUUGCUUGCUUAGCUGAACACGAUGGGUGCAUCCUGUUCUGUUAAAAGAAUGAGAAAAACAAUGAAUUCACAUAACAAUAAGUGACGAUCACACACUAUUCCACUACUAAGCGAACGCUAACGCUUUGCGUUCACUGCUGGUUGAUGAUAUGAGUGUGAGUUGGGUUUGUUUAUGAGAGGAAUGAGCUGAGUCUACCUGCUAGCGAUAAACAACAACUCAAAAUGUCUUCUCUGUAUCUGCAUUCACAUAAUUCCAACUCAGCGCCGGCGCUCAACUCGAGUUAUGAGAUGAAUUUAUAAAUUCUCUGUUGCAUUCAUAGCGUGAAUUAAUUCUUGCAACCCUUUAGUAUGUACAGCCGUUUAAAACGUACUGAUGCUGCGAUCAGUAUUAGACUGUCGACGAUUUAAUUGAAAAUAAAUUUUAUUUUUUCAAGUUGUACCCGGGGUAUAAUUUUACCGCGUAUGUAUGUAUGUACGUAUUUAUAAUGCGACCGUAUGUACUCGUACAUAGGUACGCGUGUACAUAUGUAUGUAUAUUCGCCGUACGGAUAAACCGCGAAAGGAAAAUUAUCGGACACUUAACGUGGGUGGAUAUUUAUGUAUAUAUGUAAAUAUAUGAGUUAAGCUUUCUCUCGUUGAGAAAGCUAAAAAAAACAAAAUUGUUUUCGCGUUUAACAACGGUGCUGCAUGGAUGGCAGCGCGACCGCGUUACUUUAUUGAUUGACAUAAAAUGUGUCUAAAAUUAGUGCUUAACAUAAUUUUAUACCUAAAUUCCGUCUAGCCUGCAGUGUGGUGGCGUGAUGCACUUCCAGGAAUUGGCUUGUGAAGGUGCAUAAGCAUUUCGUGUGCGCGUGCCGGAAGUCAAGUCGUUGUUACUGAAACUGCUGCGGCGAUUUGCUUAAGUCAGUAAGUUAUGUAGUAGUUGCGCAAGUUAUGUUGUCGAAUUGUUGAUAGGUGUUGUAUUAACUCUUCCCCUUUUAGUUCGAUCGUCCGCGAUCGGUGUUAUUGUUGGGCUGCGAUGUUGUAAUUUGCGGGAUCGGGCCUUUCUGCACGUUUGCAAUAAAUUCUGCUUCUGGGCUAGGCGAAAUGUACAUUUUUUGUUUUUCUUUGAUAAUAAAAAAUAAAAUUGCAGUAGUGACUACUAUAAUUAAAACAAUUGAAAUAUCAGAACUUAAGCUAAUUAUUGAGGAGGGGAAACUUUAGUAUACGAUCCCACGAUUUCAGGGUUAAAAGUGGUAUGGUUGGAUAGAGCUGAUGCUCCAGAUUAAGAAAAUAUAUAAUUGUUGCCGCCGCAAACUUAUAGUUUCCAAAAUAUUUGCAUUUAAAGUUGAAAAUUUUGCAAAUUUUAUCUUGCAAUUUCUCGAUUGCUAGUAAUUAUUUAAUUCAUAUUAUGCACUUUUUAUGCACUUACACUUCACUACAUUGUUUCUACAUAUUUUUUUUCCAGUAAUUAUUUAGUUAUUUGCUUAAAAUAAGCAUUUUAUAUUUUACACAAUUUUCAUUCCAUGCACAAUAACAAAAGUAUUCCGUGUUUACAGAUAUUAAGUGUUGCCAUAAUUACACAUAUAUCAAACGAAUAAGAAUGGAUAUAAAAACUCAAACGCAGAAAACAAAUACUAUCUGAAAUAAAUUUUCCAUUGUAAUAAGAAAAGUUUUAAGGCUUUAUUGGCGGCCUUCGGCCGCGCUUCAAAAAAAAUAACUCUGGCCAAUCCAACACCGGGGUGUAUCAAGUUUUUUUUUAAAUUAAAACUCCUUUUCGCGUUGGCGGCCUUCGGCCGCGCUUCAAAAGAAUAACCCUGGCCGAUCCAACACCGGGGUGUAUAAAGUUUUUUUUAAGUAAAACUCCUUUUCGCGUUGGCGGCCUUCGGCCGCGCUUCAAAAAAAUAACCCUGGCCGAUCCAACACCGGGGUGUAUCAAAAAUCUUGAUAUAUCAAGAAAAAGGGCAAUGAUUUAUGUAUUUGGGGUAUAGUCCUAUUUUUUAUUCAUUUUUAUUCGUUUGAUAAAUGUGUAAUUAUGGCAACACUUAUUAUCUGUCAACACGGAAUACUUUUGUUAGUGUACAUGAAAUGAAAAUUGUGUAAAAUAUAAAAUGCUU